Molecule: long non-coding RNA, 1091 nt
Filed under: Homo sapiens (human)
Lineage: Eukaryota; Metazoa; Chordata; Mammalia; Primates; Hominidae
Description: CCDC26 long non-coding RNA
Source: RNAcentral
ACAGUGCUACUGGCCCAUAAUCAGGCAACUGCAGAGUCUUAGGGGGUUAUCUAAUGUAGUCUUGGGGUGGCUGGAUAGACUUCCCAAAGAAGGUGAUGCCGAAGCUGAGGUCGGAAAUUACGAAGAUCAGCUAUGUAAGUUAAAGGGUGAGGGGAAAGGGAGCCCAAUGAGAGGGAGAGAGGGAAAAAACAGGGAGCGUGCACGUGCACGUGAGAGAGACAGAGACAGAGAGAGAGAAUAUAUGAGAAAGUGAAGAAGAGAAAAUGGGAGAGGGAGAGAAAACAUACAAUUAUGUAUGUCUGGAGCACACCAUAUUAAAGGAGGGAGUGGCAGAAAACGUGAGGUGGGAAUCAAAUCAUGCUGGGCUUUUUGGCCAGGUAAGGAGUUUGGUUUAUAGUCUAAAAGAAAUGGUGAACCAUGUACAACAUAUUGUUUUAGAGUAUAUGUGCAUUGUGGAAUGAGUUAAUCUAGCUAAUUAACACAUGCAUUGCCUCACAUAGUUAUCAUUUUUGUGGUAAGAAUACUUUAUAUCCACUCUGUUAGCAUUCAUUGUUCAAGAAUACAAUAUAUUGUUAACUACGGUCAUCAUGUUGUACAGUAGAUCCCUUGAAUUUAUUCCUCCUAUGUAACUGAACUUUUGUAUUCUUUGACCAAUAUCUCCCUACCACCCCCAUCAACCAACCCAGCCCACGGUAACCACCAUUCUACUGUCGUCUACUUCCCUGUGAUCAUUUUUUUUCUUUUUAAGAUGAGUGAGAUCAUGUAGUCUUUGUCUUCCUGUGUCUAGCUAAUUUCACUUAAUGUCCUCCAGGCUCAUCCAUGUUGUACAUGGUAAAGACCUACAAUUUCAUGUCAAAAAAGGGAUACUUUGCUACCAGCUUUAGAAAAGGUAGAGAUAGUGAACCAGUGGUGAGUUUUAAGAAGAGACAUUGCAGAGAUACUUAAGGGAAAUCAGAGUGAUCCCAAUGCAGAACUUUUGAGUUUUAAUAUUGGGAUAAAAUUUUCAUUUUGGGGGGGGUCAAAGUUUAGUAUUCCCUCCUUACUUCAAAAAAUAAGAAUGAAGAAGUCCUAGAUAGGUUCUAAAUUUCAAA